AUUCCUCUCAGUAGAUUAAGACACUACUAACCUUUUCCCAGAGUGAGGCUUAUCCAUUGCACUCCGGAUGUGCUGAUCCCUGUGAUUUCCCCAAAGGUGGGAAACUCAACUACAUCAUUUGUGGUGGGGGGGACUGCGUUCACGCUCUCCCCUG
This 154-nucleotide small nuclear RNA is filed under the name Echinops telfairi (small Madagascar hedgehog). Its description in RNAcentral is "U1 spliceosomal RNA (ENSETEG00000024381.1)". It matches the Rfam family "U1 spliceosomal RNA", at positions 29 to 166 of the family's 166-position model. From Rfam's summary of the family: U1 is a small nuclear RNA (snRNA) component of the spliceosome (involved in pre-mRNA splicing). Lineage: Eukaryota; Metazoa; Chordata; Mammalia; Afrosoricida; Tenrecidae. The record is from RNAcentral.